AUCCUUUUGUAGUUCAUAAGUGUGAUGAUUGGGUUUUUAUGCGCAUGCAUGAGAUGUGCCCCCCACAAAUCUUGUUACGACGUCGGCAUUACUUGUCUGACA
This is a small nucleolar RNA of Otolemur garnettii (small-eared galago), 102 nucleotides long. The record is from Ensembl. NCBI's taxonomy places the organism in Eukaryota, Metazoa, Chordata, Mammalia, Primates, Galagidae.